UGGGGAAUAUUGCACAAUGGAGGGAACUCUGAUGCAGCGACGCCGCGUGAACGAAGAAGGCUUUCGAGUCGUAAAGUUCUUUUAUAUGGGAAGAUAAUGACGGUACCAUAAGAAAAAGCCCCGGCUAACUACGUGCCAGCAGCCGCGGUAAUACGUAGGGGGCUAGCGUUGUCCGGAAUUACUGGGCGUAAAGGGUUCGCAGGCGGAAAUGCAAGUCAGGUGUAAAAGGCAGUAGCUUAACUACUGUAAGCAUUUGAAACUGCAUAUCUUGAGAAGAGUAGAGGUAAGUGGAAUUUUUAGUGUAGCGGUGAAAUGCGUAGAUAUUAAAAAGAAUACCGGUGGCGAAGGCGACUUACUGGGCUCAUUCUGACGCUGAGGAACGAAAGCGUGGGUAGCAAACAGG
Molecule: ribosomal RNA, 403 nt
Filed under: bacterium
Lineage: Bacteria
Also listed under: 1 other name
Description: partial 16S ribosomal RNA
Rfam family: Bacterial small subunit ribosomal RNA
Source: RNAcentral